Molecule: long non-coding RNA, 1601 nt
Organism: Eucalyptus grandis
Lineage: Eukaryota; Viridiplantae; Streptophyta; Magnoliopsida; Myrtales; Myrtaceae
Exons: 6
Source: RefSeq, a predicted model, not a curated record
UUUCCCAGAUUUUUGCAUUUAUAAUUUUCGGAUAUCGUGUUUUCAUACUCGAUUUGAUUUGGGGAGGGACAUGAAAAAAAUCGCUGAAGGGUUUGGGCGCAUCGCUUCAUUCCGAAGAGUGCGAGAAAAAAUGAGGAAAAAUUCAUACUUCGUCUCAUUCAGCGAUUGAUUUCGCAAGGGUAUAUUUCUGCUCGAGGGGAGGACAGCGAAAGCGAUCUUUAGCAUUUGACCACAAUCGACGCUCUCGAUUUGCUGUUCACCCAUUCUGCAGGGGUUCUCAGGCUAGACAGAAAUGGUGUGAAUUUUGGCACUGAGGACACAAUGCCAAAUGAGGAUCACAAAGAACUCACUGACCACCAGUUAGAUCAUCUGAACAGGUUGAUGAAACGUGAAAGGGCGUUUCAAUUGGUUUACGGAGUAUUAUUGUUUGUCUUCGGGUUAUUUCCAAUUCAUAUACAUCAGCUGGUAAGCCGAUCCCAGCGACCAAGCACGUCAGGGUUGCUGAAAUUCAGUAACCCAAAGGUUAUCAGUGACAUUUCAUUGUGGGAGAUUCAAAAACAUGACUUAUAUAUCGUGAAUUUGAAAGUUUUGAAAUGGACAAGUUCAUAUUUUUGGGCUAAAUGUUCACAUUAUGUAUUGGAUUGAGCAAGAAAACACCCUAUUGCAGAUAAAUGUUCAAUGGCCAUUCCUAUCGGAGGAUAUCGAGGUUCCCAGGGGCCUUAUUAUUGUGGUGUUGGGACUGAUAAGUCAUCCGACUAAGAUAUAUCUGAUGAUCGCUACAAGGCUUGCUUAUAUGCUGGUAUCAACAUUAAUAGCACCAAUGGAGUGGUGAUCUAGGCCAGUGAGAACACCAAGUCAGACGAAGCAUGGGAAUUGAAGCAGGAGAUCAUCUCUGGUGUUCAAGAUACCUUCUUUAGGGUGACUACAACGGUGCAGGAUGCCAUACUAACUAACAGGUUCGCACCAUAGAAAUAACUUGGACUUGUUUAAGAAUUUUUGUUCAGUGAAGGACCUUUAAGAGUGUGUUCUUUGACUUUUCUGCAAUACAAAAAGCAUGAGAGAAGAGGGAGGCUUUGAAGCGAUAAAGAAGGCAAUUCUGAAUCUCUCACUUUGCCAUGAGGAGCACAUUAGCGCCUAUGGAGAAGAUUGAUGGGAAAGCAUGAAACAGUCAACACCGACACAUUGUCUUCAGGAGUUGCCAAUUGUGGUUGAUCAAUCUGUGUGGGCCGUGACAAUGAGAAGCAAGGAAAAGGUACCAUAACAAUGACCAUACCAGUUCCCUUCUGUGCUCUAUCUGAAAAUCAUUUGGAGAUGCUCAACUUUAUCAAAUGAUUCCAGAAACACUACCACGAAAAAAUAAUACAUAUAAGUAUUAUUUAUCCUUUCUAGUCUCAGUCGAUUCCAUGAUUGCAACUAUGCACAAGGAAUUUUGACUUUUUAACAAUCAUAAAGCAUUCCCACAGUCUUGCUUCCUAAGCUGAAGUAAGGACUUUGGACAUCUUGGUUCUUUUAGUGCGUCAAAAACUUUCUGAAAUGCUUCACUAUUUCUGAAUCGAUAAAACGUACAAGUUCACCUUCCUUGCUCAGUUAGUUAAUGGCUU